CUCCUUUGACGUUAGCGGCGGACGGGUGAGUAACACGUGGGUAACCUACCUAUAAGACUGGGAUAACUUCGGGAAACCGGAGCUAGUACCGGAUAAUAUUUCGAACCGCAUGGUUCGAUAGUGAAAGGUGGUUUUGCUAUCACUUAUAGAUGGACCCGCGCCGUAUUAGCUAGUUGGUAAGGUAACGGCUUACCAAGGCGACGAUACGUAGCCGACCUGAGAGGGUGAUCGGCCACACUGGAACUGAGACACGGUCCAGACUCCUACGGGAGGCAGCAGGG
Molecule: ribosomal RNA, 281 nt
Filed under: uncultured Staphylococcus sp.
Lineage: Bacteria; Bacillati; Bacillota; Bacilli; Caryophanales; Staphylococcaceae
Description: partial 16S ribosomal RNA
Rfam family: Bacterial small subunit ribosomal RNA
Source: RNAcentral